Molecule: ribosomal RNA, 689 nt
Filed under: Burkholderia thailandensis
Lineage: Bacteria; Pseudomonadati; Pseudomonadota; Betaproteobacteria; Burkholderiales; Burkholderiaceae
Description: partial 16S ribosomal RNA
Source: RNAcentral
UCGCACCGUACUCGGGCAGGCGAGUCAACUUCACGCGUUAGCUACGUCACUAAGGAAAUGAAUCCCCAACAACUAGUUGACAUCGUUUAGGGCGUGGACUACCAGGGUAUCUAAUCCUGUUUGCUCCCCACGCUUUCGUGCAUGAGCGUCAGUAUUGGCCCAGGGGGCUGCCUUCGCCAUCGGUAUUCCUCCACAUCUCUACGCAUUUCACUGCUACACGUGGAAUUCUACCCCCCUCUGCCAUACUCUAGCUUGCCAGUCACAAAUGCAGUUCCCAGGUUAAGCCCGGGGAUUUCACAUCUGUCUUAACAAACCGCCUGCGCACGCUUUACGCCCAGUAAUUCCGAUUAACGCUCGCACCCUACGUAUUACCGCGGCUGCUGGCACGUAGUUAGCCGGUGCUUAUUCUUCCGGUACCGUCAUCCACCCCGGAUAUUAGCCAGGAUGAUUUCUUUCCGGACAAAAGUGCUUUACAACCCGAAGGCCUUCUUCACACACGCGGCAUUGCUGGAUCAGGCUUUCGCCCAUUGUCCAAAAUUCCCCACUGCUGCCUCCCGUACGAGUCUGGGCCGUGUCUCAGUCCCAGUGUGGCUGGUCGUCCUCUCAGACCAGCUACUGAUCGUCGCCUUGGUAGGCCUUUACCCCACCAACUAGCUAAUCAGCCAUCGGCCAACCCUAUAGCGCGAGGU